RNAcentral lists this ribosomal RNA (485 nucleotides) under uncultured bacterium. RNAcentral's name for it is "bacterial SSU rRNA". It matches the Rfam family "Bacterial small subunit ribosomal RNA", at positions 327 to 805 of the family's 1533-position model. The record is from RNAcentral.
AACCGAGAACUCCUACGGGAGGCAGCAGUGGGGAAUAUUGGACAAUGGGGGAAACCCUGAUCCAGCCAUGCCGCGUGUGUGAAGAAGGUCUUCGGAUUGUAAAGCACUUUAAGUUGGGAGGAAGGGUAGUAACUUAAUACGUUGCUACUUUGACGUUACCGACAGAAUAAGCACCGGCUAACUCUGUGCCAGCAGCCGCGGUAAUACAGAGGGUGCAAGCGUUAAUCGGAAUUACUGGGCGUAAAGCGCGCGUAGGUGGUUUGUUAAGUUGGAUGUGAAAGCCCCGGGCUCAACCUGGGAACUGCAUCCAAAACUGGCAAGCUAGAGUACGGUAGAGGGUGGUGGAAUUUCCUGUGUAGCGGUGAAAUGCGUAGAUAUAGGAAGGAACACCAGUGGCGAAGGCGACCACCUGGACUGAUACUGACACUGAGGUGCGAAAGCGUGGGGAGCAAACAGGAUUAGAUACCCUAGUAGUCCGACUGAGA